CACAGUUGAACUGCCAUUUUCCAAGUAUAUAAAACACUCGUUUCUAUUGGUUGAUUGAUUGCUUUGCAUCUUGCCGCACUGUAUUGUUCAUGUGUGUCGAUUGGUCAAAGUUUAAUUUUUUUAUCUCGUUUCGUGUGGCUAUGCGUGUUAACUCGAGCAGCUGCAUGGGAAAAGUUCACUAUACAUUAUAUGCACAUAACCACAUGAAGUUGCUUUCUUAUACUUUGCAUCAUGUCGUGCUCAGUGUAUCUACCUAUUGGGCCUUUAUUCUAGCUAUUGGGCCAAUUGUUUAAAAGGAGUUGUCCAUGGUUUAUAGCAAAAACUGUAUCUAGAAAGUGUUCAGAUA
This 346-nucleotide long non-coding RNA is filed under the name Androctonus crassicauda. The record is from RNAcentral. Lineage: Eukaryota; Metazoa; Arthropoda; Arachnida; Scorpiones; Buthidae.